AUGGCCGGGAAGAAGCGGCCCCCGACGGCGCUGGCGGAGCUCGGCCCCGCCGCGUCGGACUCCUCGCAGGACGAGGCCGCGGCGAGGGCGGCGGGCCCGGCGGGGGAGGUGCCGGCGAAGAAGAAGAAGAAGCUGGCCAUGGAGGUCAGGAAGCAGCGGAAGCAGCUCGACAAGGACCGCCACCGCCAGUCCGCGGAGAAGGCCGCCGCCGCCCCCAAGCCGCAGCCCGCGCCUGCACCCGCCGCGGCGGCGGAGGAGGCCGCGGCGGUGGUCCCGGUGCCCGCGCCCGCUCCGGUGGUGGCGGGGCCGGGGCUCCACAUGAAUGUCUUCAGGGACCUGGCGUCGCCGGAGGCCUCGCUGAGGGAGGCCGCGGCUGAGGCGCUGGUGGCCGAGCUCCGGGACGUGCAGAGGGCGUACGAGAAGGAGAAGGCCGCGCGGGAGGAGGGGGAGGGGGAAGAGGGGGAUCGCGACGACGGCCCUUCGCAGAUGAUGGAGGCCGAGAAGGAGGACGGGUUGGAUAACUGCGCGCCCGCCGUGCGGUAUGCCAUCCGGCGGCUCAUCCGCGGUAUCUCUUCCUCUAGAGAGUUUGCAAGGCAAGGAUUUGCGUUGGGUCUCGCAGCUGUGCUCCAAUCAAUUAAAGCGAUCAGCGUCGAAGCCGUUAUGAAGUUGAUACCUGCUUUGCUGGAAUAUUCGGCUUCCAUGAAAGGACCGGAAGCUAAGGACAAUCUUUUGGGGCGCCUCUUUGGAUUCGGAUCACUUGCAAGGUCUGGAAGGGUUUUAGGACAGUGGAAACGUGAUAAGUCUUCUCCUAUUCUCAGGGAUUUUGUUACAGAGGUUGUGCAACUUGGAAAUAAGAAACGAUAUCUCACCGAGCCUGCGGUUGCAUUGAUUCUGGAUUUAACCAGGAAGCUGCCAGAUGAAGCUAUAUUCUCUGAGGUUCUAGAUACCCCUUGUGUACAAGAUUGGUUCAACAGAGCUGCUAAUGUUGGAGAUCCAGAUGCGCUCUUCCUGGCUUUGAAGUUCCAAGAAAGAAGUAAUGUUCAGAGGGAGAUAUUUGGGAAGCUUCUGCCAUAUCCAUUCAGUCUUGACAAUUUUUUCACAGAAGAGCAUCUUCUAUCCCUUGCUGCUUGUUUUAAGGAAUCUGCAUUUUGUCUUCCACGCAUUCAUAGUAUAUGGCAUGUUAUCACGGACAUGCUCAUCCGGGAGGAAGCUUCUCAGAGUGAUAACAAUACGAGUUCUAGCAAAAAGCACAAAAAGAGUAAGAAAGGCAAUUCCUCUGAGGAUUCAAAAAAGAACCUACGCAAUUUCUGUGAGGUUAUUAUUGAAAGAUCAUUGCUGCUCUCAUCUCACGACCGGAAGCAUCUAGCAUUUAAUAUAAUUAUUGAUCUCCUACCAAGACUAUCUCCAUCAUCUAUUCAAGUAAUUCUGUCCAGCAAAGUUGUUCUUGGAUUGAUGGACAUUCUGUCUAAUGCUUCAUCGUGGUUGUACAAUGCCGGUCAACAUUUUCUGAAAGAAUUAGUCAGUUUAGUAAGCAAUGACAAUGAUCGUUGUGUUGCUGUUGUCAUCAACUUGCAGAAGUAUAGCUUUGGAAGAUUUGACAGCCUGACAAAAACAAAAACUGUUAAAGGGUUGAUCGCCAAGAUCCAGAAUGGCCAAGAUUGUUUGCAUCUUGUGCAAAAUUUGAUGGCACUCUUUGUGGAUGAAGGUUCUGUUGCAGAUGAACCAUCUGAUCAAAGUCAGACAACUGAUGAGAAUUCAGAAGUUGGCUCAAUUGAAGAUAAGGAACUUGUUGGCGAAGGGAACGCUGACCUUCUGAAGAGUUGGGUGGUCAAUACAAUUCCAUUUGUCUUGAAAAAUCUGAAGCUUACAUCUAAAGGAAGUUCGCUGACAGAUUCUGAGAUGAUCAAGUGUAUUGAAGAAAAAUUUCAGGUGCAGACUGAGAUACUAAAAUUCUUUGCAGUCCAAGGUCUGUUCUCAGCCUCUUUAGGAACUGAGGUGACAUCAUUUGAGUUGCAAGAGAAGUUCAAAUGGCCAAAGACAGCUAUAUCAACAUCACUUCGCAAUGAAUGCAUUGAACAACUUCAGUUAUUACUAGAAGAUGCACAAAAGGACGAGGCUUUGCAUGUUAGCGGGGUUAAGUCUAAUGACUUAGGCUUCUACUUCAUGCGUUUCAUUAACACUGUGUGCAAUAUUCCUUCAGUUUCACUGUUCAGAACCUUGAGCAGCAAUGAUGAUAAUGCAUUCAAGAAAACACUGGCUACGGAAUCUGCACUUUUCCAGGAGGAAAGAAAAAUUGGCACUGGAUUGGAUUCAACUAAAAUGCACGUGAUACGUUAUCUCCUUAUUCAGUUACUGCUGCAAGUUCUGCUCCAUCCAGAGGAGUUCUGGGAGGCUGCAAUUGAUGUGAUUAUAUGUUGCAAGAAAACAUUUCCUUCAAUUGCUCAGUGCGACAAUUCCAGUGCGCCGGAAUCUGUUGAGGGUGGUACAGAGGAGUCUGAUGAGGAUGGGUCAGAUGAGCCUAAUGAGGAUGGGUCAUUAGAGUCUAUUGAUGUACUUGUGCAGACUUUUCUCUCUGUUUUGCCUCAUGUAUCUGGCCCCGUGUGUUUUGCCAUUGAACAGGUUUUCCGUGUGUUCAGUGAUGAGAUUACAGAAACAGGGCUUCUUGAUAUGCUGAGAGUUGUAAAGAUAGAUUUGAAAGGCUCCCGUCGUCAAACAGAUAGCGAUGAUGAUGAAGAUGAGGCUCGUGUUGAUAUCGAAGAUGAUGAUGAAAUGGAAGAUGCGGAUGUUGGGAAUGUUGAUGAUGCCCCAGAUGAAAUGGAUGAGGAAAUGGAAGAUGAUUCAGCUGAUGAAGUAGACGAGGAUCAGGAUGAUUUGGAAGAAACAGUCGACAAUAAGGCAAAAGAUGGAGAUGAGGCAGAAGCUACCAAAGGUGGGGAAGAUUCAGAUGAUUCAGAUGGUAUGGACGACGAUGCUAUGUUCCGUAUUGAUCCUUAUAUUGCGAGGAUUUUCAAGGAGCGAAACAACCUUCCUGGUAGUGAAACCCAGCAAUCUCAACUUAUGCGAUUUAAGCUUCGCGUGCUUACUUUACUGGAGAUAUAUCUUCAGAGGAAUCCAGGAAAAAAACUGGUGCUGGAUGUGUAUGCUUUCUUAAUGCAAGCUUUUGUGAAAUCACAUAGCGCCGAUGGCAAUGAGCAGUUCAGGCAACGUAUUGGUGGUAUAUUGCAGAAAAGGAUAUUCAAAGCAAAAGAAUGUCCAAAAGGCUUUGAUGUCGAACUUAGUAGACUUGAAAGUUUGCUGCAGAAGGCUCUGCAUCUGGCAUCACGGUCACGAUACAAAGAAGUUGCUUCUGCGGCCCAAAAUGCCACGUUUUGGAUUCUGAAGAUUAUCAAUUCCAAGGGUUGUUCCAAGCAGGAACUUGCAAGUGUGGUCGAUAAGUUCCAGUACAUGCUGAACGACUACUUCAGCAACAAGAAAUCGCGGCUGAAGAUUGGUUUUGUGAAGGAGGCUGUCCGCAGGAACCCCUGGGUAGGACGGGAGCUUUUCGGCUUUGCUCUACAGAAGAUCGGCAGCACCAAGGCUGAAUACCGAAGAGUUCAAACUUUGGAGCUGGUGGACUGCAUAUUGAAAUCCUGGGUCGGCGACGAUGUCUCGAGCGCAUCAAAGGUUUUGAAGAAGCAUAUGGCUCUGCUGUGCGAGCUGAUGCAGGAAAUCCUCACAAAGAUGCCCGAAAACAAGUCGCGUCGCCAGGAGGUGCGUAGAUUCUGCACGCGGGCUCUGCAAACCGUGACGAGGCUCAAUCUGAAAGAGAAGUUUCAGAAGAAGCUAAGCCCGGAAGCCUACACCCUGUGUGAUGCACAGCUGGGAGCUGCAUUUGUUCCCUUCCGACAGUGA
Molecule: ribosomal RNA, 3891 nt
Filed under: Triticum aestivum (bread wheat)
Lineage: Eukaryota; Viridiplantae; Streptophyta; Magnoliopsida; Poales; Poaceae
Description: partial small subunit ribosomal RNA
Source: RNAcentral